AGGCGAGUCAGGGAAUUAAACAGCAGCAACACUAAAAAGUUCCUAGAAGAAAGAAAGAGACUUGCGAUGAAGCAGUCCAAGGAAAUGGAUCAAUUGAAAAAAGUCCAACUCGAGCACCUCGAAUUUCUAGAGAAACAGAAUGAGCAGCUUUUGAAAUCCUGUCAUGCAGUGUCCCAAACACAAGGCGAAGGAGAUGCAGCAGAUGGUGAGAUUGGAAGCCGAGAUGGACCGCAGACCAGCAACAGUAGUGUGAAACUCCAGAAUGCAAACUGAAGCGGGAAAAGCAGGAAACAUCGGGAGAUCACCUCCAGCUUCUGAACACAGACUCCAUGGCCAAAAGCUGUUUUCCUUUGUUUCCUUUAUGUUUAGACACAGUGUUACCUGAACCACAGAGACUGGGGAAGACAACAUUCUGUUUAACAACUUGAGUAUUGAAUUCCCUUGGCCAACCAAAAGUAGCUAUGAAUCCACAAAAAUCUCCUAUUUCCAUUAGGCAGAGUUGAACCACUGAUAACACAACUUAAACAUGUUUGCU
Long non-coding RNA from Nannospalax galili (Upper Galilee mountains blind mole rat), 535 nucleotides. RefSeq lists it as uncharacterized. The record is from RefSeq and is a predicted model, not a curated record. The transcript has 4 exons. NCBI's taxonomy places the organism in Eukaryota, Metazoa, Chordata, Mammalia, Rodentia, Spalacidae.